RNAcentral lists this ribosomal RNA (301 nucleotides) under uncultured bacterium. Its description in RNAcentral is "partial 16S ribosomal RNA". It matches the Rfam family "Bacterial small subunit ribosomal RNA", at positions 509 to 807 of the family's 1533-position model. The record is from RNAcentral.
CAGUAGCCACGGUAAUACGAAGGGUGCAAGCGUUACUCGGAAUUACUGGGCGUAAAGCGUGCGUAGGUGGUGGUUUAAGUCCGUUGUGAAAGCCCUGGGCUCAACCUGGGAAUUGCAGUGGAUACUGGGUCACUAGAGUGUGGUAGAGGAUAGUGGAAUUUCCGGUGUAGCAGUGAAAUGCGUAGAGAUCGGAAGGAACAUCUGUGGCGAAGGCGACUAUCUGGGCCAACACUGACACUGAGGCACGAAAGCGUGGGGAGCAAACAGGAUUAGAUACCCGAGUAGUCCCUGUCUCUUAUAC